GAUGAAAGAACGCAGCGAAAUGCGAUACUUGGUGUGAAUUGCAGAAUCCCGUGAACCAUCGAGUCUUUGAACGCAAGUUGCGCCCGAAGCCAUUAGGCCGAGGGCACGCCUGCCUGGGCGUCACACGUCGUUGCCCCCCCAUCUACUCCUUCGGGAUUGCGGGGGGCGGAUGAUGGCCUCCCGUGCGCCUCGUCGCGCGGUUGGCAUAAAUACCAAGUCCUCGGCGACGCACGCCACGACAAUCGGUGGUUGCGAAACCUCGGUUGCCCGUCGUGUGCGGUCGUCGCGCAUCGAGGGCUCGAAAAAAUUGCCGGGCUCCGGCUCGGCUUUCAACGCGACCCCAGGUCAGGCGGGGUUACCCGCUGAAUUUAAGCAUAUCAAUAAGCGGAGGA
This 392-nucleotide unclassified non-coding RNA is filed under the name soil metagenome. Its description in RNAcentral is "partial contains 5.8S ribosomal RNA, internal transcribed spacer 2, and large subunit ribosomal RNA". The stretch from base 6 to 123 matches the Rfam family "5.8S ribosomal RNA", at positions 39 to 154 of the family's 154-position model. The record is from RNAcentral.